This 281-nucleotide ribosomal RNA is filed under the name Bryobia sp. X ALA-2010. RNAcentral's name for it is "partial 28S ribosomal RNA". It matches the Rfam family "Eukaryotic large subunit ribosomal RNA", at positions 42 to 296 of the family's 3401-position model. Lineage: Eukaryota; Metazoa; Arthropoda; Arachnida; Trombidiformes; Tetranychidae. The record is from RNAcentral.
AUAAUUCAGCGGAGGAAAAGAAAUCAAAUGAGAUUUCCCUAGUAACGGCGAGUGAAAAGGAAAAAGUCCGGCGCAAAGGUUCCCCAUCGAAAGGUGGGGAGCGGUGCUGCGUAAUGAUCUUAGUCACGAUUAUUCCAACCAGAACUGCAAGUCCCUUUGAAAAGGGCUCUUUACCCAGAGACGGUGCGAAGCCGGUAGCAGAGGCUGGUAUAUUGGAAUAUCGAUUACUGGCUUUGAUCGCGGAUAGAGUCAUAUUGCUUGAGAAUGCAAUACAAAUCAGG